CAAGGGACGUAGCUGCUAAACCUUCGAACUUCGAAGUUCAGACCUUCAACUAGGGUUUUGGCAAGAUGAUCAUUCCGGUGCGUUGUUUCACUUGCGGCAAGGGAUGCUCUUGAUGCACUGAAUUUGGUUCGAUAUUGCUGUCGUAGAAUGCUGAUGACACACGUUGACCUCAUUGAGAAGCUUCUCAACUACAACACAUUGGAGAAAUCUGAGGGCACUUGAAAUUUCCUGAAGUAAUGAGAUUGAGCUUAGCAAGUGUUUAUACCUAGAAUGUUUCUCCUUUUGUCUGUUUCCUCUUUCUAGUUGGAAGGAGGUAGUUAAAAUGUUCCCAUAUGGAGUGAAGACUUUCGAAUCUUGUAACUCGUUAAAGUGACAUUCCAAGAAACUAGUAAACAGUAUUAUGUUGAACACAGUAGGUGUCUGUUCAA
This is a non-coding RNA of Nicotiana tabacum (common tobacco), 428 nucleotides long. Lineage: Eukaryota; Viridiplantae; Streptophyta; Magnoliopsida; Solanales; Solanaceae. The record is from RefSeq and is a predicted model, not a curated record.